UACGAAGGGGGCUAGCGUUGCUCGGAAUUACUGGGCGUAAAGGGCGCGUAGGCGGAUCGUUAAGUCAGAGGUGAAAUCCCGGGGCUCAACCUCGGAACUGCCUUUGAUACUGGCUGUCUUGAGUAUGGGAGAGGUGUGUGGAACUCCGAGUGUAGAGGUGAAAUUCGUAGAUAUUCGGAAGAACACCAGUGGCGAAGGCGACACACUGGCCCAUUACUGACGCUGAGGCUCGAAAGCGUGGGGAGCAAACAGG
RNAcentral lists this ribosomal RNA (253 nucleotides) under uncultured bacterium. RNAcentral's name for it is "partial 16S ribosomal RNA". It matches the Rfam family "Bacterial small subunit ribosomal RNA", at positions 524 to 776 of the family's 1533-position model. The record is from RNAcentral.